Long non-coding RNA from Spinacia oleracea (spinach), 1175 nucleotides. RefSeq lists it as uncharacterized. The record is from RefSeq and is a predicted model, not a curated record. The transcript has 2 exons. Lineage: Eukaryota; Viridiplantae; Streptophyta; Magnoliopsida; Caryophyllales; Amaranthaceae.
CGAAGAGCAAUAAAUUCGAAAUUUUAUGCUUACUGUAGUAGUUGAAGAAGAAAUUAUAUAUUUGCAAACCCGUAAUGCAUCCUCUUCCGAUCAAUUAAAUUCAAUCACAUUUCUUCCCUCAAUUUCAUUCGAUUGUUGGCAAAGUUUUUACUUUUCAGCACAGUUUCCAGUAUUCUUGAAAUUUUCAUCAGAAUUCGACGGCAAAUGCUAAGAAGAUCCAGAAAAAUCUCAUCGUAUACAAGCUCCAUCUUUACCAAACCACUGAAAAUCCAUGGAAUUUCAUCUAGGUUUUCAAUUAGUUUUUGACAUAUGAUUAAACUAAAAACUACGAUAUCGCCAUUGUUAUGGGAGCUGCAGAGAGGAAGAAGUGGCUAUUUGCACUAUUCUCCGCUUUGUUAGUCUCUCUCCUCCUCUUCCUCACAGCUAUCUCAGGACUCAACGCCUCAUAUGCUUUCACUUCCUGGAGCAACAGGCCCACAGCACUCCCGAACCGUGGACCGCAGUUUCCACCGUCCUUCGCUUGCUACCUUUACGGCGGACCGGGAGAUAAGGAGCAAAUUUUCCGGCUAUUGCUGGCCGUCUACCACCCACGGAAUUGGUAUUUGUUGCACCUCUCAGCCGAGGCAUCGUUGUUGCGCUGAGGUCGGGGCCGGCGAUUCAGGCUUUCGAGAAUGUGGAAGUGAUUGGGAAACCUAUUUGAGGUAAAUGCCCAAGUUUUUAUUAUGAUAGGAACUUGAAUCAGAUGGUGAAGUUCCUGACGUGCACUUGGAACAGUCACUGGAGUUCAUGAGCUGGAAGUUGUAUCUGUUCCAGUUUGAAGUCACAAGAGGAGCAACACAGUUACAUAUCAAGAGUUCCAAAUACUCACAAGAACUAUUACAGACUCAUGGCCACGAGUUCCUUUGAUAGACAGAGAGGAACUCGUCAUUGUUCCUGAGCUGGAACGUAUGAAGCUUCUGAGUUGCAAGUUCCAGACAAAAGGAAGACAUAAAAGUCUAGGUAGUCUACUGUACUUGGAAUUUUAUGUAAAUAUUAAUUUUGCAAAAGAUAUAUAGGGUACUCAAGGAACUUGUGAUUUAAUUAGGUCAUUUAUUUUACUGGAGCAAAUUUUUAUGAAAACAUGUAAUUAAAUAAAAAUAAGUUUUUAAUAUAAAAUAGAUUUACGUUUUAUGUUA